AUGUUUACAGAGGAAAAGUUGCUGAACUUACUAGAAGCCAUUUUUGAUCAUUUCAUACUUAUCUAUUUUGUUUUGUUUCAGAGAGUAGCUACAUUGGUAAUUUUAGAUUAUCAAAAGAUGCAUAUCGGACUUUGUAUCAUGACUUAGGACCAUAUCUGAAGGUCCAAUGCUCUACAACUGUGCAAUCGACUUUAAGUGACAAAUGCCCUCAAUCAGCCUGCAAUCGUGAGAUAAUAUAUCAAGUUUCCUCGGACAAAAACUGAGCAUAUAGAAGUCUCCAGAGGUUUUAAUGACAAAUUUGGAUUUCUUGGAGUACUUGGAUGCAUCCAUGGCACACAAAUUGCCAUUAUCCAACCUCACAAGUGGGAAGAGGCCUUCUUCAAUAGCAAGUAUUACCAUUCAUUGCAUGUUAUGUUGGUUUGUGAUGGAGAUAUGAGCAUUACAUUUAUGAUGCAUCCAAUGGGAGUGUUAGUGCUAGACUACUAGCCAAGAUAACCAUAUUUGGAACAACAGCACUUUGAGAAGGGAAAAGGAACAUCUCCUUAAUUUUAAUAUGUUUAAGUUCAUUAAGCGGACUUGUGUGGUCCUUGAAAUGUAAAUUAUGAAGUCAGUGUGGUGUAAUCAAAAGUGGCAGAUUUGUUAUUCAAUAAUACAACAUCUAAACAAACCUUUCUUUAUUGACAUCAAAUAAACUAUUUUCAUUAUGCAUAUUUAUUUAUUUUGUGUUAUUACAUAAUUUGUUUCAUUACACCCCUCUCAUUAACCAACCUAUCUCUCAAGUAGAUACAUUUUUUCUAAUCUUGUGUCCAUUGUGCUUAAUAAAGUAGUUUAUCCAUCUAUCUUUAACUUGUAAUAAAUAAAUCCAUUUAUUUUGUAUAAAUACAAGCUUGCGGGGCCUUAUUGGACUAGACUAUUUGUAAUGUGUAAUAGUAUAGUCAAAAAAGCCCUGCGAGUGGAUCAAAGAAAUGUAAUCAAUUAGAACAUACUACAAAUAUAAUAUUGUUCCCAAUUCUUACUAUAAUAUGGAAAUAUAAGUUAAUUGCAUCCAACAUCUUCAUCAAUACACCUAUACAAAUCCUUUUAUUAGAUAGUAGUUGGCAAGGAGUGGGUGUAUACAUAUACU
This 1123-nucleotide long non-coding RNA is filed under the name Pectinophora gossypiella (pink bollworm). RNAcentral describes it as "uncharacterized LOC126381814". Lineage: Eukaryota; Metazoa; Arthropoda; Insecta; Lepidoptera; Gelechiidae. The record is from RNAcentral.